This 238-nucleotide unclassified non-coding RNA is filed under the name Rhizophagus sp. (in: glomeromycetes). RNAcentral's name for it is "partial contains 5.8S ribosomal RNA and internal transcribed spacer 2". The stretch from base 1 to 65 matches the Rfam family "5.8S ribosomal RNA", at positions 84 to 154 of the family's 154-position model. Lineage: Eukaryota; Fungi; Glomeromycota; Glomeromycetes; Glomerales; Glomeraceae. The record is from RNAcentral.
GUGAAUCAUCGAAUUUUUGAACGCAAAUUGCACUCUCUUUGGAGAGUAUGCCUGUUUGAGGGUCAGUAUUAACAAAAAAUCGGUUUGGUUGCAAAUUGUGACGUUUCCGGAGUUUGGGCUAUCUUAACUUUUUUGGUUAAGGGGCUUAAAAUUGACCUUAUUUGCGCAUUUUUAGACGUACAUAAAUUUUUUUUUAUUUGUUUUUUUUUAAUGCCAAAAUUUUUUUUGAUUCCGUUAC